GAGUUUGAUCGUGACUCAGAUUGAACGCUGGCGGCAUGCCUUACACAUGCAAGUCGAACGGUAACAGGUUAAGCUGACGAGUGGCGAACGGGUGAGUAAUGUAUCGGAACGUGCCCAGUCGUGGGGGAUAACUGCCCGGAAGAGCAGCUAAUACCGCAUACGACCUGAGGGUGAAAGCGGGGGACCGUAAGGCCUCGCGCGAUUGGAGCGGCCGAUAUCAGAUUAGGUAGUUGGUGGGGUAAAGGCCCACCAAGCCGACGAUCUGUAGCUGGUCUGAGAGGACGACCAGCCACACUGGGACUGAGACACGGCCCAGACUCCUACGGGAGGCAGCAGUGGGGAAUUUUGGACAAUGGACGCAAGUCUGAUCCAGCCAUGCCGCGUGCGGGAAGAAGGCC
This 398-nucleotide ribosomal RNA is filed under the name uncultured beta proteobacterium. RNAcentral describes it as "bacterial SSU rRNA". It matches the Rfam family "Bacterial small subunit ribosomal RNA", at positions 9 to 416 of the family's 1533-position model. Lineage: Bacteria; Pseudomonadati; Pseudomonadota; Betaproteobacteria. The record is from RNAcentral.